AGGUCGAUUGAGCGGAAUUAG
RNAcentral lists this unclassified non-coding RNA (21 nucleotides) under Chlamydomonas reinhardtii. RNAcentral describes it as "small RNA Cre_0594". The record is from RNAcentral. Lineage: Eukaryota; Viridiplantae; Chlorophyta; Chlorophyceae; Chlamydomonadales; Chlamydomonadaceae.